This 700-nucleotide ribosomal RNA is filed under the name uncultured bacterium. RNAcentral's name for it is "bacterial SSU rRNA". It matches the Rfam family "Bacterial small subunit ribosomal RNA", at positions 8 to 725 of the family's 1533-position model. The record is from RNAcentral.
AGAGUUUGAUCCUGGCUCAGGAUGAACGCUAGACGUGUGCUUAAGCAUGCAAGUCGAACGUGAUCCCUUGAAUUCGUCUGGGGGUGAAAGUGGCGAACGGGUGAGUAACGCGUUGGUGAUCUACCCGGAGUGGGGAAUAACUAUUGGAAACGAUAGCUAAUACCCCAGAUGUCCUCGUGUUUGGAAAGCGAUGACUAAAGUUCAGGCGCUCCGGGAGGAGCCAGCGUCCCAUCAGCUAGUUGGUAAGGUAACGGCUUACCAAGGCAAAGACGGGUAGGGGGGCGUGAGAGCGUGACCCCCCACACUGGUACUGAUACACGGACCAGAUACCUACGGGUAGCAGCAGCUAGGAAUAUUGGACAAUGGGCGAAAGCCUGAUCCAGCAACACCGCGUGGAGGACGAAGGCCUUCGGGUCGUAAACUCCUUUUUGGGGGGAUGAGAAAGGACAGUACCCCCAGAAUAAGGCCCGGCUAACUACGUGCCAGCAGCCGCGGUAAUACGUAGGGGCCAAGCGUUAUCCGGAUUUACUGGGCGUAAAGCGCAUGUAGGCGGUCUGCUAAGUCGGACGUGAAAGCUCCUGGCUCAACUAGGAGAGGCCGUUCGAAACUAGUAGACUAGAGGAUGGUAGAGGAGAGCGGAAUUCCAGGUGUAGCGGUGAAAUGCGUAGAUAUCUGGAGGAACACCAGUGGCGAAAGCGGC